CGUAGCGUCCAGGUAUUCAAGAUAUUUAGUCAAUACCCUGAUUUUUCUUAGAAAAAAUAUUAAUACCAAGGUAUUUAGUGAAUACCCUGAUUUUUCUUAGAAAAAAUAUUAAUACCAUGAAAAAUUGUAAGAACUAAAAAAUGCUUUGGGGCUAUUGAUUCUGGUUGAAUUUGUUGCCUUCGAUAUGCUGCAUGUACGAAAUGUAACAAAAUUCAUGGAAACAAUAACGCUGCAAAGAACAGAGAAGCUGGGAGAUCUUUUAAGUUAAUUUUGAAGACUGAGAUACUUCAUGUUGAAUUAAGGUUGAUCAUGAAUACGCAGUGAAUACCCUAGAUGGUACUUCAACCAAUCAAAAUGCUCCUUUCCAGGAAUAAUAUUUACCGUUAACCAGCUAAAACAAUGGUCCUGUAGGCUGAGAAAUAUGCAGCAUACAGCCUUAAAGUUGGUUGUUAAUAAUCUCACUUUGAGAUAGAUAUAAACAGCUAAUGGAUGUUGAAGCGGUUUGAGUGAUGAAGCUUCAUCGAAAACAGUAAAUAUGACUUCUUUCAAAAACUAUUGCAAUGUCCGUAUUACUGUUUCAUAAUCAUUCUCUCAUUUGACCUCUAAUCUACCAACAGCAAAGUGGAAAGAAAAGAUGGUGACGGGCGGCAGCCUUUGAACACCGAAGAUUACCCUUGCGUUCGAUUCACUCUCACCACAACUUUGUGACAAGCAGGAUUCUUUGGUUUGACGGUGGAUUAAGAAACUGUCGUUGAAGGACUGUAUCGAAGAAGAGGGUUGAUUGGUUUAUCAAAUGAAAGACAAUAUUCUUUCGAGGUUUGUGUUCAGCCAAGACUAAAAACCGCGGAGAAAAUAUUACGUAAUGCGGGGGGAGCUAGAAUGGAGAGGGAUAAGACUGCUAAAAAGCCAAAAACAAAGCUAUUCUUGGUAUGAAUUCACUUUUAGAUAAAUUUUGGCAGGGGCGUCGUGGCUCCUGGAAAAGGGCCCGGGGCCCGCUCUUUUGUAUAACAUCUCCAAUCACAAACCAUAGGUCGCAAAAAAUGGUGCAAACCUGGAAACCAUGCACCUAUGAAAAACUAAACAAUUUUUUAUAAUGUUUUAAGGUUCAUCUAACCAAAGCCUCUUUAAGCCUGGAACAAAGCCACUGCUGUAGUGCACACUUGAUACAAACCCGGAUGGGAUGGAGAAUUCAGGUGCACUUUUUGCGACAACGCCCUUCGAAUAAGUUUGAAAUACAUUUCAGAACGUUUCUUGCAGUCAUUUUCUUGCAAUCGUUUACAACGUUUUACGAUUUUUUAAGCACACUUGUUGAGUACGUUACAAUUCAGUGCAUAAAAUAAAUUCCUUACUUUAGGAGGCUCCCUAGACCCUGGGGCACUUUGCUCCUCCUUGUCCCUCUCUCAGCAGCCCACGUGUACUUUUCAAAGAGCCACGUUUGUAUAUGUUGAUCUCUAAGUCUCUAACUCUAAACUAUGAGUAUACAUGUAGGUGAGGUAUUUUUUCACCAAGCAUUUUUUCAUAUAAAAUAUUUUCCAGGGUGUUACAAACUCACUUGAAAAGGGCCCACCGGGAAAUAUCCGGGUGUCCCGUCUAGCCACAGCGCCCCUGCUUUUUGGGAAUCAUUGGAGGGUUAAAAUUCCCUUCGCGGUCAAAAUCAAUUCCACGAUAACUACAGCAAUCCCAACAUUUAAAUUUGUAAAACCUUUUAAGCAAUUUAAUUUAGUGUGUAAAAAGAGAGGAGAUGUUAAAUUCCAGUUUUGAAAGUUAAUUCUAUUUUACUAAACUAUUCCUCCUUUACUAUUGGGUAUGCAGGAAAAGUAAUGAAUAUUGUUCAAGUUAAAGUAAAGUUUAAAAGCUUUAGAACAGUUUUUUCUAGUAACAAAUUUACCCAAACUAUCAAAUGAAGACACCAUAAAAUAGAAGGGGUUUUGUUAUCAGUUAUGAACAUUUCAUUUUUGUGAAAAAUGCGGGUCCCGCGUCUCAUGACCCCCUAGAACCCCUGUAUCAUUGUCUUGAGAUUCAAUUACAUAUGGAUCCAGCGUUGGUCCCACUUUGCCUGGCUAUAAUGUCACAAAAGUAUUUUUGUUUCCACCAAACCCCCUCUAUUUGUAAAUUCCAAUUUUGGAGAAAACAUAGGAGAAAACAAGGCCUCUUUCGACACUCUUACUUGAGGAAGCAAUUGCCCCUCUUGUCCUAACGAAGUUUUCACUUAAGACACCAGAUAAUUGUCUCUUUUUAUAAGCAUAAAAACAGCUUUGAGGGAAAAUGAAGUAUCUGUAAUGGUAUCUACGUUAAGAAAGUUAUCUUUAUUCCUUAUUACCGUUUGACUAAAGUGCAAUCUAAAAUGGUUGGAUUGGGCGACUUUGAUCGCCCAAGAAGUUGAUAUUCACUCCCAGCAUUCACCAGUGUUACCAGCAUUAAAUAAAAGUGUUUUAUAAUAACAAAUACUGGCUGAGAACAACAAGAAACACAAUAACAACGCAGCUCAUUACAAAUUACGAAUAUAUACUGCUAAUGUUAAGAAGAGAAAAACAUGCAAAGAUCCACAUAAUGGCUGUUAUCAAAGAGGAAGAGAGGAGAAAGCGAGCGUUUAUAGAGCCCCUAUUCUAGCAAUAAAGGUGUUUUUGCAAACCCGUGUUUUUGCAAUUUGGAGUACUUGCGACGUAGCUUGCUCUGGAAACAGAGCCAUACCCUUCCUUCGCAGAGCCAUACCCUUCCUUCGCAGAGCCACCUUCCUUCACUGACAUGUUCACAAAUAAAAAAGUCAUGUAGAACAAUCAUUAACAUUAACUAGGUUUGAUUCCAUAAUAAGAUCGCUCUCCAAACCAGGACAAUUUCAGUACCAUACAAUCUCAAAGUUUUCUAGAAAAACCUAUAUAAACUCUAUCGGCAAACCUUCGUGCAGAAGUUUCUUUUAUAUUACAUAUGAAAAAUCCUUACACAUUAACUUGUUGCUGUAUUUUAGUGCGAAGUUUAUUAGUGAAGCUUUUAAUUCCAAAACCUAAUUUUUAAUAAAUCCACACCUUAAUCCCCUUCGAGUUGAUAGGUAAUGAAAACAAAAUAAUUGUAGCAUGAAUUAUCAAGAAAUAAUUGUUUCCGUUUUUUGUGAAAGUUCACAAAUAAUGUUGGUAAAUUAUGAAGAAUCUGUACUUUAUUGGCAUGAAAUCUAAAGAAACGAAAUUACAGGUCAGGUUUGAUGACAUCGAUUUUUUCUUAAUUUGUUGACAAAGAUAGCUUUUUUUACCACAGUACUUAACUUAACUUUUAAAAUUAGCCCGGCGUAGACUAACUCUUAACGGUUUCAUGUCUACAAAUGAGCAGGUAUGCGUUUCAGGCAAACCUGUUAAUUCACGCUUAUCAAAUGUCCGUUAGGAGCCGUAAACUGUGUGCACGAAACAUUUCAACAGCGCUGCAACGGCAGAAAUUUCAACUACCAAAUAAUAAUUUCAAAUUAUUCCAGGCAGGAAGCAGGCCUCUCCCAGUCAGUUUGGAAGGAAAGGUUCAACAUUGUGUUUUAGGCCUCUUGGUUCCUCUAAUCGCCUUAUUCAAUAACACUCUUUUUCGGGGACUUAUGUUGUCAAAAAGAACGCAUAACAAAUGUUGCGUGCGCACGUGUAUGGAGACCCUUAUGUAAACAUCACAAAAUCUGACACAGCUUACGGGAACAUGGGUAUAAUUAAUGGUAACCCAUCUAAGUGGAUUCACGCAUCAAAAAGUAAUUGAACAUAUUUAGUAAACAAAAGAUGAUCAGUAUCGGCGAGGAAAUAUUUCCACUUUUCAUAAGCAUCGUAGUUUUAAACAGGAAUUAUGCGGUUGACAUAAACUAAAACCCGCAUCAUGUUUUCACGACUUGCGGCAGAAAUCCAUUUAAUAGCAUUGUAGUCAACUCCCAAAUAUUGCUAGGGUUUACAACCUAAUCAAAGCGUAUAAUUCUGUUUCAUAAUCUUUCAAAAUCUCUCUCCAUACAGUGAAGAGAAUCACAGUAACGAUCGAUACACGACUUUUUUGGCUAACCAGGCAGAAUUAAGAAAUUCUGUCAUGUGUGUGCAAUACAGAAAUGUUUUGCAAAACGGCAUGUGAGCAGCGAAACUGCAUUCCAUUCCACUGGGAUGGUUUGUGCAACAGCAUAUAAAAUAAGUCUGAUUAAAGUAUAAAUUAUGCGUGAAUAAUUAAGAUGCUUUCACAUUUUGGGCCUUCUGGAGAGUUGAUGGUUAAAUCAGCCUUCGGUUAAAACAUGGAAUGUUGGGCAAUUAUUGACGAAACCUAGCUGCUAAAACUCGGACAAACCUAUAUACCUUUGAACUCUUGAUCUAAACUCGUUAUAUAAGAACAAUUUUAUAAAAGCACAAGCUUUAAAAUUGGUCAAAAGUUGAGCUGAGGCUGAGCUACUAAAAAAUGUAAUUUUGAGCAACGUUUCAUCCAGGAUGUGUGGGUGCUUUUUCGAUGAAUUUUCAAACUUGUCCGCAAAUGAAGUUUGUCUCAGUCACUAUGCUAGUGCAUCUCGAAAUUUCUCGAAACCCAAUUCGAUAAACCCUUUUUCGAAUACUGAUAAUCGCUCACCGAGAAAAUUUUCCAAGUAAGAGAGGUGGAAUAUCAAGCAAAAACUGGUACAACUAAAUAUGACUCGAUGAUAACUUGAAAUAGUUUGUCUACAUACAAUUCCUCAUACUAAAAUAAUGUACAAAGCACAGUUCCUUAGUUAUUCUAGUAAAAAUUUAUUUUCAUUUAUAAGAUACUGUCCUUAAUGCGUAUUAUGAAACGUAAUAUCCUUAGAACAUUUCCGUCAGCCCUGGCAACCUUUCACUGCAUUGGGUUUGAAAGAUUAAAUUAAGGCCCGACUCUCUAUAAUUUAUCAUGGUAGUAUAGAAUGAGGCGUGAAUGCCCGAAAGGGAGGCAUGAAUGCUCGAAAGAGAUUCAAGGGAAUUCUGUCCACUUACUGGGGAAAGAAAGGAUCUUGAAGGGGUAUUAAUGGUAUAAUUUUGAAGAUGUCAAUUUAUUGCUUUCUACUGUGUUGCAAGUGGCGAAUUUGAAUCUAUCUAAUUUACUAUCUAUAUUUAACGUAAAUGGAAUGUUAAUGUUUCAUGUCUGCUUCUUGAAUGUUUGUUUUCGUGUUUAGUUUGAAAUUUGACCUUAAUGACCUGGUUUUCCUGAAGCAAACCUGACAUUCUCAGCACAGCCAAUAUUUGCAAACGAAAUCUUUAAUCGGCUAAAUGGGUGUAUAAAAGAAAAUAGAAAAGCUUUUAAAAAAUAUCAAUGUUAAAACCGUUUGGGUUUGUUAGUUGCUUCGUCCUAUGUAUGCUGGGAGCAAAAGAAAGCUACUAAAUGGUUUGCAAAAACACAAGGACGUAUUAGGAAUACUCGUGUUUGCCUUUCACUAUAGGAACAGGAAAUGUUUAACUAUUUUAGUGUGACAUUACGGGUUUAUAUGAAAUAAAAGCUAUCAGGGGCGAGCUGUGAUUCACAACGUGUAUGAAAUAGAACAUGGUCUAUCAACGUUUUUACAACUUGACAGGAAACAGCCUCAAAAUCUGCUUUAACCUUAUCGAAAAGGGUCCUUUUCGAGGUAGAAGUUGGUAAUGUGCAUUUUGCAGUUACAGCAAUAUGAAUGGAAGAAGUAACAUUUAAACUUGUUAAAUUCAUAUGCAACAGCAACAAACAAAAGUGAUGUCAUGAUGUUAAAUUGCAUCAGGCACAAACACCUAAUUUCAAACCACAGACUUAGUCUAAUUAACAAAUUCAUCUAAGCCUGAUUGAGAAAUCUGGAUUGUGUGUGUGUUUUUAGAUAUUGGCUAUUCUUGGCACCAAAGGACAACAUGCUAGUUUGCUGGAAAGGGUAUGAUUAUGCCAAACGUCAAUCUUACCAGUAUUGAAAUAUUUUAAAUUUUAAAAUCUAACCAUAAAUGGAGAAGCAGAAAUUCUCAAAAUAUACCAAUAACAAAGCAGCAGGUACUCUGUUUUGGCUAUUCUAAGCACAUUCUGGUGGGAAUUUUAUGCAUAUAAAAAUGUGCUAUCAGUGAAAAUAUCAGUUUUAAUAUGAAUUCAUC
Rhopilema esculentum is the source of this 6044-nucleotide non-coding RNA. Lineage: Eukaryota; Metazoa; Cnidaria; Scyphozoa; Rhizostomeae; Rhizostomatidae. The record is from RefSeq and is a predicted model, not a curated record.